GAUGAACGCUGGCGGCGUGCCUAAUACAUGCAAGUCGAGCGAACGGACGAGAAGCUUGCUUUUCUGAUGUUAGCGGCGGACGGGUGAGUAACACGUGGAUAACCUACCUAUAAGACUGGGAUAACUUCGGGAAACCGGAGCUAAUACCGGAUAAUAUUUUGAACCGCAUGGUUCAAAAGUGAAAGACGGUCUUGCUGUCACUUAUAGAUGGAUCCGCGCUGCAUUAGCUAGUUGGUAAGGUAACGGCUUACCAAGGCAACGAUGCAUAGCCGACCUGAGAGGGUGAUCGGCCACACUGGAACUGAGACACGGUCCAGACUCCUACGGGAGGCAGCAGUAGGGAAUCGUCCGCAAUGGGCGAAAGCCUGACGGAGCAACGCCGCGUGAGUGAUGAAGGUCUUCGGAUCGUAAAACUCUGUUAUUAGGGAAGAACAUAUGUGUAAGUAACUGUGCACAUCUUGACGGUACCUAAUCAGAAAGCCACGGCUAACUACGUG
Molecule: ribosomal RNA, 497 nt
Filed under: uncultured bacterium
Lineage: Bacteria
Description: partial 16S ribosomal RNA
Rfam family: Bacterial small subunit ribosomal RNA
Source: RNAcentral